ACGAACGCUGGCGGCGUGCUUAACACAUGCAAGUCGCACGGAAAGGCCCUGCUUGCAGGGUACUCGAGUGGCGAACGGGUGAGUAACACGUGGGUGAUCUGCCCUGCACUUCGGGAUAAGCUUGGGAAACUGGGUCUAAUACCGGAUAGGAGCCAUCUUUAGUGUGGUGGUUGGAAAGUUUUUUCGGUGUAGGAUGAGCUCGCGGCCUAUCAGCUUGUUGGUGGGGUAAUGGCCUACCAAGGCGGCGACGGGUAGCCGGCCUGAGAGGGUGUACGGCCACAGUGGGACUGAGAUACGGCCCAGACUCCUACGGGAGGCAGCAGUGGGGAAUAUUGCACAAUGGGCGCAAGCCUGAUGCAGCGACGCCGCGUGGGGGAUGAAGGCCUUCGGGUUGUAAACUCCUUUCGCUAGGGACGAAGCUUUGUUGUGACGGUACCUAGAUAAGAAGCACCGGCUAACUACGUG
Molecule: ribosomal RNA, 465 nt
Filed under: uncultured bacterium
Lineage: Bacteria
Description: partial 16S ribosomal RNA
Rfam family: Bacterial small subunit ribosomal RNA
Source: RNAcentral